AUGCAGCUGGGGUGCAGCAGGCGCGAAAACUCCGCAAUGCACGAAAGUGUGACGGGGUCAGCCCGAGUGCCAACCGAAAAAGUUGGCUUUUCACCAGCCCAAACAGCUGGUGGAAUAAGGGGAGGGCAAGGCUGGUGCCAGCCGCCGCGGUAAAACCAGCUCCUCGAGUGGUCAAGACGAUUAUUGGGCCUAAAGCGUCCGUAGCCGGUCUAGUAAGUCUCUGGUUAAAUCUAACGGCUCAACCGUUAGGCUGCUAGAGAUACUGCUAGACUCGGAGGCGGGAGAGGCCGACGGUAUUCCCGGGGUAGGGGUGAAAUCUUAUAAUCCCGGGAGGACCACCAGUGGCGAAGGCUGUCGGCUGGAACGCGCCCGACGGUGAGGGAUAAAAGCUGGGGGAGCGAACCGGAUUAGAUACCCGGGUAGUCCCAGCUGUAAACGAUGCAGGCUAGGUGUUAACGCGGCUAUGGGCCGCGUUAGUGCCGCAGGGAAGCUGAUUAGCCUGCCGCCUGGGGAGUACGGCCGCAAGGCUGAAACUUAAAGGAAUUGGCGGGGGAGCAC
This 558-nucleotide ribosomal RNA is filed under the name uncultured crenarchaeote. Its description in RNAcentral is "bacterial SSU rRNA". It matches the Rfam family "Archaeal small subunit ribosomal RNA", at positions 310 to 879 of the family's 1478-position model. The record is from RNAcentral. Lineage: Archaea; Thermoproteati; Thermoproteota.